This 441-nucleotide ribosomal RNA is filed under the name uncultured bacterium. Its description in RNAcentral is "bacterial SSU rRNA". It matches the Rfam family "Bacterial small subunit ribosomal RNA", at positions 335 to 795 of the family's 1533-position model. The record is from RNAcentral.
ACUCCUACGGGAGGCAGCAGUUAGGAAUAUUCGGCAAUGGGGGAAACCCUGACCGAGCGACACUGCGUGAAGGAGGAAGGCCUUAGGGUUGUAAACUUCUGAACGAGAGACGAUAAUGACGGUAUCUCGGUAAUAGCACCGGCUAACUCCGUGCCAGCAGCCGCGGUAAUACGGAGGGUGCGAGCGUUAUCCGGAAUCACUGGGCGUAAAGCGCAUGCAGGUGGUUUGUUAAGUCAGAUGUGAAAGCCCCGGGCUCAACCUGGGAAUUGCAUUUGAAACUGGCAAACUAGAGUACUGUAGAGGGGGUAGAAUUUCAGGUGUAGCGGUGAAAUGCGUAGAGAUCUGAAGGAAUACCAGUGGCGAAGGCGGCCCCCUGGACAGAUACUGACACUCAGAUGCGAAAGCGUGGGGAGCAAACAGGAUUAGAUACCCUGGUAGGUC